CCUACGGGUGGCAGCAGUGAGGAAUAUUGGUCAAUGGGAGAGAUCCUGAACCAGCCAAGCCGCGUGAGGGAAGACGGCCCUAUGGGUUGUAAACCUCUUUUGUCGGAGAACAAAACCCGGGACGUGUCCCGGACUGCGUGUAUCCGAAGAAAAAGCAUCGGCUAACUCCGUGCCAGCAGCCGCGGUAAUACGGAGGAUGCGAGCGUUAUCCGGAUUUAUUGGGUUUAAAGGGUGCGUAGGCGGUCGGUUAAGUCAGUGGGAAAAUUGCGGGGCUCAACCCAGUAGAGCCGUUGAUACUGGCAGACUUGAGUGGGCGAGAGGUAGGCGGAAUUCGUGGUGUAGCGGUGAAAUGCAUAGAUAUCGCGAAGAACUCCGAUUGCGAAGGCAGCGUACCGGAGCCAAACUGACGCUGAGGCACGAAAGCGUGGGGAUCGAACAGGAUUAGAUACCCGAGUAGUC
Molecule: ribosomal RNA, 459 nt
Filed under: uncultured bacterium
Lineage: Bacteria
Description: partial 16S ribosomal RNA
Rfam family: Bacterial small subunit ribosomal RNA
Source: RNAcentral